Phragmites australis (common reed) is the source of this 2732-nucleotide long non-coding RNA. RefSeq lists it as uncharacterized. The transcript is spliced from 3 exons. NCBI's taxonomy places the organism in Eukaryota, Viridiplantae, Streptophyta, Magnoliopsida, Poales, Poaceae. The record is from RefSeq and is a predicted model, not a curated record.
AUCUCAGCCAUGCCUUGGCGCCCCGCCGCACUUAUAUUACCGGUCGCCCCGCCCCGCUGCCCCCUCCCAUCUCCGCUUCUCCCCAUCUCUCUUGUUUUGCUCGGAUCCAAGCAACAGGCGGAAGUCUCACCAUCAGCUGAGUCUGCAGAUAAGUGCAUCUCCCUGCCCUCUGAUGCCCUGUCGGCAGAUUCAAUUUCGGUGAGAGGACCCGAUAGGUUGAUGAGGAACUGAACAAGUGGUUGCUGCCUUCAAUUGGAAGGUGAGCCAAGAAAAGCUUGUCCGGCAAAAGCGGUGCGGCUCCCGCCGGGAUGGGCGGACUGUUCUUGGCUGCCGAACCACGACUGGAGGCGUAGAAGGCAAGGAAGAUGUCACUUCUCGUAGAGCAGAGCAAGAAAGAGGUGCCGCGGAUGACGCCGGACGACAGAGAGCGACUAAACAAUCUCCUUAUCACGCUGGCGCCGGUGCUGCCAGGCCACAUCGUCGAGCUCUUGCACAAGCAUUGCAUUGGUGACUGCAACAGCGACGAGAUCGAGAUUGACGUCCACUCUAUGGAAGACUCUGCCCUGUUCGAGCUUAAGACGCAGCUUGACAAGUUCGAUGAGGAGAUCAAGACCAAGAGAGCCGAGGACGAGGACGUCGACAUCUGCGGCGACGCCUCCCCUGCCAUUUUCCCUCAUACCGGCAAAGCCAGUGGUAGCCCGAGCCCAAUCAGCUCCCUUGCAGUUUUGUCAAAACUAAUGAAAAGGUCUAAUGAAAAGCUUAUAUAUUAUCAAACAGGAUCUCUAUGUGGUUUGGAGGUGCUCGAUGUCCUUCGUGAUAUAUAUAGCUGGAAGCAGAUCACAUCUGUGAUCUGCAAUUGUGUUCUAGAGCUGGACAUGUCAGGCUAUUUGUUCCAGUUCCAUUAAGCUAUGCUAUGGGCUUGCCAAAUUUAUUUGUUUCUUCAAGGUCGGAGCAAGCGUUGGUGCUUCAUGUUGUGCCAAACUGCAUUCAUAGUCAGAGUUCUUGAUCUUUAAGGAAUUAUUACUGCUAGACGGAUUGGCAUGCCUAUAUUGUGCUCGUUUUUUGUUGAACAGAGCAUAACAAAGGAAAACUAAAAAAAAUAGGUUCAUUAAUUUUGGGUAUCUCAAUAUUUAUUUAUGAAUUUAUCAAUACUUAACACAUUCAUUUAAUUAUAGAAAAAACAAUAGUACUUUCAUACAUGCACAUAAUUUUAACAUGUAGACAACAGUAAUGCAAACCUAACUAAAUUUGUUUCAUAUUUUUUGAGUUUUAGAUAUUUUCCUAUGCAUUUAGACUAUUUUAACAAAUUUAUCAAUAUAAAUAUUAUUACUUUCACUAUUUUCUAAAAUUUUGCUAUAUAUACUUAUACAUAUAUAUGUGUACAUAAACAUAUAUAUAUACACACACGUACACAUAUAUAAGACCCAUAUAAACUUAGGUUGCUCCCUAUCUUAGUCUUUUAAUAUAUGUAAUAGAUGACUAUUCACUAUUCAGCAAACAAUAGCACUACAGAGGUUACUUCAUGUUCCUUUUGUUUGGUACAACAGGGACUGCCAAUGGGCCAGGGUCUCCUCCAUCACCGCCGGCUCUGUUUCCCAGUCCUCCGGCUCUCCUUUUCCACUGCCGCUAUCUUCUCUCCUCCUGGUUCGCCGCCACCAGGGCACAUUCGGAUUGAGCCUGCCCAGCCCUGCUGAAACGAUUGCUCACCAAAGAUGUGGACGACUUCCGCGCCGCUGUUUCACCCGCAUGUUGGCGAGAAAUUGACUAUACGGGGCUGGGCGGCUCAUCCAAACACUAGCCAACUUGGGCUGGGCGAGCCAAAAGCUUGGAGCAUCUGCGCCAAUCCAAGAUGCUUAGUAAAUAUUAGUACGGAAGAUCUUGGACAAAUGAUUAAUAUUGGAAAUUUGCAAUUAGAUGAUUAGCUGUUGCUCGAUUAGUGCUUUUGUGUGCUAAUGUGCUACCUAGUUAUUUGUUGCCUAAGCUUGAUGGAAUUGUAGUUCUUAGUGAACCAAGUUGAUACUUGUUAGUUUGCUAAAUAGAUGUCGAAAUCUAGUUGUGAGGGCACAAUAAUUCGUUUCUGCACUCGAGUGAAUAUAAACAGUAGCAUUGUUGGUUUAUAUGGGCUCUCAGGGACAUACCUCGAUGCAUCUGGUAUGGUCAUCCCUUCUGAAUAUUAGCUCCAAGAAAAUAAGCAUGUACUCAUAAUUAAUCAUUACACAUCCAGCGUAUUUACAUGAUCUUCGUUGAAUAGAAGUGCAGCAUAUACAUAGAAGAUCAAUUUCUAACACAAUUUACAGACACAUAUGAAGGGACUAUACAUGACAAGACAAAGAAGCAUCCAUUUAUUUGAUGUGUGUCUGAAAAUUAGGCAUAUGAAGGCCUGCCUACUCGAUUGGGUAGGAAGGCUCCAUGGCGAGGCCACACAUGCCCUUCUUGUCCGAAAUGUCCUUCUCCAUUCUCAAGUAACCGUUUUCACCCCAUGUUGUGCCCCAUGAGUUCUUCAUCAGCCAAUAUUUUGUGCCAUCACUUGUCUGUCCAUAACCAAUGGCUGCAAUCCCAUGGUCCAAGUCAGUGCCGCAUGAGCCAGUCAUCACACCGCCAGAGUAGAACUGAAAUGUCAUGUCUCCUCCAUCCACUGCCACCGACACAGGCUGCUUGGCCACCGCCUUCAUGAGGGCAGCCUCAUCGUUGGCCGGCACGUCCUCGUAGCUCUUGAUGGUUGCGGCACUGUU